UCCCAGGUUUCCACGGGGCACUGUGGUUGGAUACGCAGCAAAAAGGAGGAUCUGCAGCACGAGAGACUGAAGUUAGAUCACAGGGGAUCUUCUCAACCCAGGGAUCGAACCUGCAGCUCCUGCAUUAGCAGGCGGAUGCUUUACCACUGAGCCAUCCGGGAAGCCCAACCCCAUGUUAGCGAUGAAGAAACUGAGGCUCAAAGAAUACCUUACAUGUCCUCAGAACUGUGUCCAAACCAGGUCCCCUGGCCCCAGAGAUGUUCAGUUCCCAGGAUACUGUGUUUAAUUCCUAUAGGACCAAAAGUGCAACCUGCAAAAUAUCUCAACACUGAGCACAGAAGCAGAGAAGACCCAGCUAUCUUCUGUCCAGCCAGACAUUAAAGUAAUCUGUAAAACACUGCCCCUCUUCUUACUAAAUGUUCUCUUUCUUUCAAGUACAGUUGGUUUGUUUGUUGGUUGAUUUUUUUUUU
Molecule: long non-coding RNA, 470 nt
Organism: Dama dama (fallow deer)
Lineage: Eukaryota; Metazoa; Chordata; Mammalia; Artiodactyla; Cervidae
Exons: 3
Source: RefSeq, a predicted model, not a curated record